Molecule: ribosomal RNA, 497 nt
Filed under: uncultured bacterium
Lineage: Bacteria
Description: partial 16S ribosomal RNA
Rfam family: Bacterial small subunit ribosomal RNA
Source: RNAcentral
GAUGAACGCUGGCGGCGUGCCUAAUACAUGCAAGUAGAACGCUGAAGGAAGGAGCUUGCUCUUUCCGGAUGAGUUGCGAACGGGUGAGUAACGCGUAGGUAACCUGCCUGGUAGCGGGGGAUAACUAUUGGAAACGAUAGCUAAUACCGCAUAACAGUAGAUGUUGCAUGAUAUCUACUUAAAAGGUGCAAUUGCACCACUACCAGAUGGACCUGCGUUGUAUUAGCUAGUUGGUGAGGUAACGGCUCACCAAGGCGACGAUACAUAGCCGACCUGAGAGGGUGAUCGGCCACACUGGGACUGAGACACGGCCCAGACUCCUACGGGAGGCAGCAGUAGGGAAUCUUCGGCAAUGGACGGAAGUCUGACCGAGCAACGCCGCGUGAGUGGAGAAGGUUUUCGGAUCGUAAAGCUCUGUUGUAAGAGAAGAACGAGUGUGAGAGUGGAAAGUUCACACUGUGACGGUAUCCUACCAGAAAGGGACGGCUAACUACGUG